CUCCCAAGGCUGCUCCUCCUCCCGGAGGAGAGCUUCUUCCUGCUCGUGUCCCCGGCAAAUGCUUCCCUCUCAGCCCCUCCACGCUCAAGGAACUCGUUCCGGUCCCAACCAGAGCCAGCCGCAGCGGGGAAGGGCAGAAACAAGUAGUAAUAAGCAAAGCACUUCCGGCUAAGCUGAGCCUGGGGGCGGGGCCCGCGGUGGCCGACGCCCUAUGUGGGCGUUCCGGCAAAGAGAGAGUCUAGUCCAGGGAAUCCUCUGGAAAAAAACGCUAAUGCGGCCGUGGAGGCGGUGGCGCGGAGGAUGAUUAGAUAAAGUGCGCUGCCCUCGGCGGAGGGAUUAUGUAGUUUGUAGAAAGGCAUCGUUACGAAACCCUCUACCCAAGGGAUUUCAGUUUUGUCCUGUUGGAUUUUUUUCCCUGAUGGCCCAUGACCUCACAGGAAUGCGAUGGAGCCGGCUCCCCGGGGAGCUCAGGCCUACUGUGGAUGUAGUGCCGAUGCCUUGGGCCUGAGCUGUGCACACUCCAGGGCGCGCCAUGGCUGUAGACCUCGAGGUCACCGACACCGUGCCCUUCCCCACCCCCACUUUCCUGUGUGUGGGCCCUCUCUUCCCACUCCCUCCGGGUGGGCUUUGCGGCAGCGCCCGACUGGUGACUUCAUGGGUGUGUCAAAAUAAUUCAAGGAACCUCAUUAACUUUAUUAACACAGUUAAGCAACAGUUCUACAACCUUUUUGGUCUAAGAGCAGAGGUUUCCAACUCAAAGACUGCUCACUUGGGAGCUCCUGGAACCAGAUUAAAAUAGAGGUCUCGGCUUUGAGUCAAGGACAUGGGGAUGCAGGGAGCCUCUCUCAAGAGGAUAGGUCUCUCCUGAGGCUAGCCUCUUCAGAAAAUCCAGGAAAGGAAUCAACUCUUUCACUCAUAAUGUGACAAUCCAAAGGGAGAGAUUUAAGGACAGUCUCACCAUGUACAGGGUCUCAGGUCCAGUCAGCAGAUUGUUUACCAGCCUCCAAUUUGAACUCAGAACUCCAGAAGAAGAUGAGGUCCCAAGCAUGGAGAGCUCUCUGAAGAUGUCCUCUGAAGAUUUCUGAAGAUCUCCCCACAGGAAGUUGUAACUCCCUUUUCAAGACACUUUCUUUUGUGUCACUUCCUGUGUCUUCCUCCAUUUUUUACAUCUACCAAUUACAGUUGAAGCUUUGCUUAGGACUGCCCAGGGAACAGUCAGUUUGAUUCUGAUUGGUCACCCACUAUUGCACACAUGGGUCACAGACAUCCCACUCAAUGAUUAAGUGGGAUGUUUUACACGUUUGGUGAUUAAAUCUAAAAAUGGGCAGGGGAGUUAAUUUAAUCUUCACAAAUCAGGGGAGAGUUAAUUUCAUUUUCACAAUCAGGGGAGAGCUAAUUUAAUCUUAACACAUUGCUCUGGGUUAUUGCAUUAUUUUAUUAACAGCUCUUCCCACUGUCAUUCUCACCAGUCCAAUAAUCCAACCUUUAGACUGCUUCCAGAUUUUCUUCUGUGGCUUCUUAAGUGGCUACUCUUUUUAAAAUCCUUUAGUGAUUCCUAAUUAACUAGUGAAUAAAGUUCAAGCACAAGUUUAGCCUGCUAAUAAA
Monodelphis domestica (gray short-tailed opossum) is the source of this 1605-nucleotide long non-coding RNA. NCBI's taxonomy places the organism in Eukaryota, Metazoa, Chordata, Mammalia, Didelphimorphia, Didelphidae. The record is from Ensembl.